CACGCAGGCGGUCUGUUAAGUCAGAUGUGAAAUCCCCGAGCUUAACUUGGGAAUUGCAUUCGAUACUGGGAAGCUAGAGUAUGGGAGAGGAUGGUAGAAUUCCAGGUGUAGCGGUGAAAUGCGUAGAGAUCUGGAGGAAUACCGAUGGCGAAGGCAGCCAUCUGGCCUAAUACUGACGCUGAGGUACGAAAGCAUGGGGAGCAAACAGGAUUAGAUACCCUUGUA
RNAcentral lists this ribosomal RNA (225 nucleotides) under uncultured Acinetobacter sp. RNAcentral describes it as "partial 16S ribosomal RNA". It matches the Rfam family "Bacterial small subunit ribosomal RNA", at positions 568 to 792 of the family's 1533-position model. Lineage: Bacteria; Pseudomonadati; Pseudomonadota; Gammaproteobacteria; Moraxellales; Moraxellaceae. The record is from RNAcentral.